Molecule: long non-coding RNA, 204 nt
Filed under: Elaeis guineensis (African oil palm)
Lineage: Eukaryota; Viridiplantae; Streptophyta; Magnoliopsida; Arecales; Arecaceae
Description: long non-coding RNA (EGUI_LNC019952)
Source: RNAcentral
UCCAUCAUCCUUUUUUUUCCAUGCUUUAAAAGUCAUGCGGCCUAUUUAGCCUAUUUUUCUAGUGAUUGGGCCGAUCAAUUGGACCAGAUCCAGUUCAAAUUCAGACCUAUUUGGACCAAGAUAUUAUAAACUCCUUGAUAAUAAGUUGGCCGCAAUCAAAGAGAAAACUGGGAGACCAAGGCAAGGGCAAAGAUUGAGGCUGAG